GAGAUAAAGGAGAACCAGGAGAGCAGGUGAGGCUGAUUGAUAUUUUCUUUCUAGAGAACAUCUAAAUUGUUCAUUAAGAUGACUGUCUGAAUGUCUUUGUCGGGUCCAGGGGCCAGAGGGUCUUCCAGGCGACAGGGGGCACCAAGCGUCUCCUGGAUUGGAGGUAGGAACACAGACAUGUGAACUGUGGUGUUGAUAUGUCUUUGGCAACAUGACGUAAGUUGGUAAACAUUUUGGUUGAUGUUUUUUUCUACUCAUCCCUACUCUUAGGGUUUGCCUGGUGAGGUGGGGCCUCAGGGAACUGUUGGCCCACCAGGACCUUUGGUAAGUGCUACAAUAACGUGUUAGACCUUAUAUACAAAUGAAACACACAUGUUCCAAUAUCUUCACCAGAAAUAAAUGUCUACUGAUGACGUUUUAGGAUAAGUCAACAUUACCUUUUUGCUCUUCAGGGACCAAAAGGUCGAACAGGCCCUGAGGGGAGACUUGGCCAGAAAGGUCAAAAGGUCAGGUUAAGCUUCACCUUUCACCUGUCUUUACAUCUACAUAUAUAGUAUUUAACACUCUGUCCCAUUCUGACAUCCUACCUGUAUCAAAGGCCAUAUCAUAAUGUCCACUUAGUGUAGUAUGUGAUUGUAGGUCUUUCUUUUUGUCAGGGGUAUGAUGGUCGAAAUGGGUAUCCAGGAAAGACCGGACACAUUGGAAGGAGGGUGAGAAUUACACCAUUGCUUAUUCAGUCUCUCUUUUUCAUAUGUUAAAAAUGUAUCGUUCCAACUAAUAUGGAUCUUGAUUCUUCAUUUGAUUCUAAAAGCUGUUCUUGUUUCCAUGUAAGGGGAAUAGAGGAAAAACUGGAAGCAAAGGCUUAGGUGGAGAGAGAGGAGAAAAGGGAAAGAGGGGAGAUUUUGGUUCAACCGGGCCUCCAGGACGACAAGGGCCUUACGUAAGUUAUUUGAUCUGUUUUGGAAAGGCACUUUUCAAUGCCAGGAGGAUUAGCUCUAUAACUCAAUCACUGGGUCCCCAAAACUCAGGAAAUAACUUCCCUUGUUUCUCUCAAAGGGGACACCUGGCUUACAAGGAGAGAAGGGUCUAAUGGGUGGACCAGGUAUAGAGGUAAGACCUUGACUGA
Molecule: long non-coding RNA, 1126 nt
Filed under: Salmo trutta (river trout)
Lineage: Eukaryota; Metazoa; Chordata; Actinopteri; Salmoniformes; Salmonidae
Description: lncRNA (ENSSTUG00000039615.1)
Source: RNAcentral